This 374-nucleotide ribosomal RNA is filed under the name uncultured eukaryote. Its description in RNAcentral is "partial 18S ribosomal RNA". It matches the Rfam family "Eukaryotic small subunit ribosomal RNA", at positions 592 to 976 of the family's 1831-position model. The record is from RNAcentral.
CAAGAGCGUAUGUAAAAGUUGUUGCAGUUAAAAAGCUCGUAGUUGAACCUUGGGUUUGGUUGGCCGGUCCGCUUUUUUGCGAGUACUGGAUUCAACCGAGCCUUUCCUUCUGGCUAACCAGUCGUUUCGGCGGCUGGCGAACCAGGAUUUUUACUUUGAGAAAAUUAGAGUGUUCAAAGCAGGCAUUAGCUUGAAUAUAUUAGCAUGGAAUAAUAGAAUAGGACGUUAUGGUUCUAUUUUGUUGGUUUCUAGGACCAUCGUAAUGAUUAAUAUGGACGGUCGGGGGCAUCAGUAUUCAGUUGUCAGAGGUGAAAUUCUUGGAUUUACUGAAGACUAACUACUGCGAAAGCAUUUGCCAAGGACGUUUUCAUUAA